Long non-coding RNA from Lynx canadensis (Canada lynx), 2936 nucleotides. RefSeq lists it as uncharacterized. The record is from RefSeq and is a predicted model, not a curated record. The transcript has 4 exons. NCBI's taxonomy places the organism in Eukaryota, Metazoa, Chordata, Mammalia, Carnivora, Felidae.
CCUCCACAGAGUUUCCCAAGGUUGGAUAAUGCCUGUGAUCAUUUCCCAGGACUCUGGCAAGCCUUCCCAGGAGAACCAUCUGAAGGGCACUGGCCUUUCCACUUCUCUCUGUCUUCCUGGAGGCCCCACUAGUCCAGCCAAAAAGGCCAUUGAGCCCCGGGAGUGGAGUCACAGAGAGGUGAGGGUGUCCCUGGCUCUGCCUAUGCUCUGAGCCCAGUGCUCUCUGAAGUACCCUGGGAAGUAGCCAGUCUCUACUCCCACCCUUUGGCCAGCCAUAGUUCCAUGAGAAGAAUCCUAGGUGGUUCACUCUCUACGAGGCUCCUUCCUCCCCAGCAAAGUUGUUGAAUAUUUAUUGCACAGUAAAUUGAGUCUUUGUAUCUCCACUGCUGCCCAUUAUGUGCAGUCCACAGUGGGCUCUCUGCACGAUCUGACCUCUACGUCUCUCCCACUCUGACCUGAUUCAUAUCAUAGUCCUCACCGUGCCCUCCUUUGGCCAUACUAACUUCAUUGUGCCUGUAGUUCCAACCUCUUUCUUACCUCUAGGCUUGGCCAGUGUAAUUUCCUUUUCCCCAGCUCUUCACCUGAGUGAUUUCUGCUCAUUUCUCAGGUCUUUGCAUAAAAUACUCUCUUUCAGGGAAAGCUUCCCGGAAAUUUGAUAGUGAGCUGCAGAACAGACUAGGCUAGAGAGACCAGAGACUGGGAAGUCUGUCCUAGGCUAAGACCUCAUGGUCAAAGCCCAAAGUGGGAUGUGCAUAAGCCAAACUGGAAAAGGAAAGGAAAAGACAGAUUCUCGUGACCAGUCCAACAAAUUUGGGAGUGAAAAAUACAGAGAAGUUGACAAUAUAAAAAUAUGCUGUGUCCACAACCUGUGUGAAGCUUACUUUUAGGCGUUUCUGUCCUAGGAAAGAGAGAGGCCCUAACUGAUUUGGCAGCAAAUUUCUAACUAACACUUUUAUGUGGGUCCCAUCCUCCCAGGAAAAUGGAGAGUCUCUUGCAAGAGAAGUAUCUCUUCUCAUUGCACAUGCAUUCCUUUUUACUUCUAGCAGAAUUCUGGCUGUCUUCUCAGUUCUGGGCCUCAAAUUUAUAAUGCUUAUCUCAAAGAGCUUCUAGUUCUUCAACCAUUUUCUGCAGGAGCCAGAGUCGGGGGUGGGGACAAGGAGACAAAGCCGUCUUUUCCCCCUUGAUCUUACUGUACCAUGAGUCCCAGCAGGAGAGAGAUGGCAUUUCAGUGUUACCUUACUGCUCUGUUACUGGAGAGAAUAUAAUGAAUGGACUGUUUAUAAAGAUGUGGGCAGGAUGGAAGGCAUCAGGCAAGGGAAUGGUGCAACACCUCCAGGACCUAACUGUGCAGUGCCAUCAGCUCAGGAAGCUUGAAAACACAAGAGAGGAAGUGAUUAUAAGAACCCAACGAGGGCUGUAGAUGAAGGAGGGGUUGCUGUGGCCUUCCUGCAGGAAACAACCAGCCACACCACGGCCCACCCAUCCCCCACGGGCAAGGAACUAGAAUAAUAAACACCCUGCCGCUCUUUUCUCCUGCUCUCCUGUUUCCUGCUGGCGUCCACUGUGGCCUCAGGUCGACCAGAACUGAGAAGGCGAGGAAGCUCCAUUGGCACAGUUUAUACAGCUUGGCCCCAGGGACAGGGCAUGGUGGAGGAGAAAGAGGAGCAGAACUGGAGAGACCAACAGAACAUCCAGCACGCAAGUAUUUCAUACACAGGAUAAAGCCACACACUAGAAAAUGGCGCCAACUGUGGACCUAGCAUGAGGAAAUGAUGUCAAGCUAAGGCAGGGCUUUGAGUAAACGGGAAAGAGAAAGCUGGUCCACAGGGACAGGAGGCUGGCCUCCAGGUCCGGAAAGAAGCAGGAAACCCAGGGCCAGUGGAGACAGAGCAGGAGAGAAACUGCAAAUGCCCCUUCAGGUUCCUGGUUCCAGUUCUCUGGAAAGGCCUGGUGACCUGUUUUUGUGAAAGUCCCUUGAUUCCACACAAAACAUCACCCUUUUACGUAAGACAGCAUGAGGAAAUUUUCAGUUUGACAACCAAAGAACUUUGGGUAUACUUCAUUUGAAACAAAAGAACCUUGAGCACACCGAAUUUCAUUUAAUCCCCAUAACAACCCUGAAAGGUGGGCACCUUCACCCCCAUUUUAAAGAUGAGGAUAUUGAAGGUCCCGGUAAGAUUAGAUAAUCUUCACUGAGGAAGCUGGGACUCACUUACUCUUGGCUUGGCCUGGCUCCAACACUUCAGAAUUUUCUAGGACUCCACAAGCUGACAAAGCUGGCUGAAAGCAAUUUCCAAAACCAGAAGAGAACCCCACCCUUGACCAGGUCACCCCUGUGGGGAAACGACUUGCUGUCUCAGCUUGCUAGCUAAGGCUCUUUGGGGUCCUGCUGAGGAGCUGGCAGGCAUGGCCACCCAGCACAGAAAUGUUUGACAGGGUCAAGGAAGGGACCAACUCUGGAUUUGUAAAACUACAGCCAAGUUUUGUUUUGUUUUGUUUUGUGUUUUUUCCAAGAACUCCUAGAAGAGCAAUGUAUUUGCAAAAGCUGGAAUUCCUUAGCUAAAUACCAAGGACAGAGUUGACUGCACAUGGGAACGACCCUCCACCCUGUAUCCCCAAAUACCCAACACGAAGUGCCAGGUGAACAAUUCUCCAGGAGGACAGAAAUCCGGCAAUGUGGAUGUGAAGACGCAGGAUCCAGCCAGGGCAGGAGAGAAGGACCCGUGCCAGACAUGCCUGAUUCCACGCAUCAUCCCUUCUGUCUACCUUGUGGCGGGUUGGUCCCCCGGGACACAGACUCUGAGCCAGGCUACACGGAUCAAAGGCCACUGACCAGCUCAGGGACUGGCUGUGUUUAGGACCCUCCAAGAGUAUCAGCUAGUCUCUUCGAGUCAUGAUCUCCCUACAGGGUGAACCAUUGGGGAAAUACAUGUCAC